CGGAGGCGCGGGCCGGAAAGGCUUUCCGAGGAAGCGGGACCGAGAGCGGAAGAAGUGAGCGGAGGCGUCGGUCCCGCACUAUUUCAAGACAGCCGCUCCCAUUGGGAAGCCGCUCAAUGCGGGCAGCCGCAUUCCUUGCCACGUAUCCACGGUCCUGAAUUCCAGUCUUUGGAAUGAUGAGGCCAUUUUAUCUCCAGGUCUCACUUUCCAGGAAAAGACAGAUUCCAUGAGUUUCUGAAUAAACAGUGUCUUGUCCCUGACGAUUCUCUUGACCAGAGGCCUCUUAGCAAGAUUCAGAGAAGAGCUGGAAGAGUCAUUUGGGCAGAUGUUGGACUCAGUGACCAUUUCCCAAGAGCAGCUGAAACUGAGCAAGUCCCAGGUUAUGAGCUUGCAGUUUGGGAGAUCUGCACAUCGAUCUCUGCACUAACAGCACGGAGCCGGCUUGGGAUUCUCUUCCCUCUCUCUCUGCCCAACUC
Hyaena hyaena (striped hyena) is the source of this 476-nucleotide long non-coding RNA. RefSeq lists it as uncharacterized. The record is from RefSeq and is a predicted model, not a curated record. The transcript is spliced from 3 exons. NCBI's taxonomy places the organism in Eukaryota, Metazoa, Chordata, Mammalia, Carnivora, Hyaenidae.